AGUGAACGCUGGCGGUGUGCCUAACACAUGCAAGUCGAACGGCAGCACAGUAAGAUUUUUCUCUUACGGUUGGCGAGUGACGGGCGGGUAAGGAAUACAUCAGAUUCUACUUUUUCUGGGGUGAUAACGGAGGGAAACUGAUACUAAUACCUCAUACGUUCUACGGCAUGAAUCAAUAGUUCUUCGCGGCUUUGCCGUUUCAUUUAGACGAUGUCGGAUUAGCUAGUUGGCUUGGUAAAGGCCCACCAAGGCGACGAUCCGUAGCUGGUCUGAGAGGAUGAUCAGCCACACUGGAACUGAGACACGGUCCAGACUCCUACGGGAGGCAGCAGUGGGGAAUAUUGGACAAUGGGCGAAAGCCUGACGCAGCAACACCGCGUGAGUGAAGAAGGUCUUCGGGUUGUAAAGCUCUUUUGUUGGGAAAGAACAGAAGCAGGUUAAAACCCCGAUGUUUUGACGGUACCUAAACAAAAAGCACCGGCUAACUACGUG
This 492-nucleotide ribosomal RNA is filed under the name uncultured bacterium. Its description in RNAcentral is "partial 16S ribosomal RNA". It matches the Rfam family "Bacterial small subunit ribosomal RNA", at positions 29 to 507 of the family's 1533-position model. The record is from RNAcentral.